RNAcentral lists this ribosomal RNA (517 nucleotides) under Shigella flexneri. Its description in RNAcentral is "bacterial SSU rRNA". It matches the Rfam family "Bacterial small subunit ribosomal RNA", at positions 33 to 525 of the family's 1533-position model. The record is from RNAcentral. Lineage: Bacteria; Pseudomonadati; Pseudomonadota; Gammaproteobacteria; Enterobacterales; Enterobacteriaceae.
GAAAACGGCGAGCAAAUGACGCUGGCGGCGGCCUAACACAUGCAAGUCGACGGUAGCAGGAAGAGCUUGCUGUUUCGCUGACGAGUGGCGGACGGGUGAGUAAUGUCUGGGAAACUGCCUGAUGGAGGGGGAUAACUACUGGAAACGGUAGCUAAUACCGCAUAACGUCGCAAGACCAAAGAGGGGGACCUUCGGGCCUCUUGCCUCGGAUGUGCCCAGAUGGGAUUAGCUAGUAGGUGGGGUAACGGCUCACCUAGGCGACGAUCCCUAGCUGGUCUGAGAGGAUGACCAGCCACACUGGAACUGAGACACGGUCCAGACUCCUACGGGAGGCAGCAGUGGGGAAUAUUGCACAAUGGGCGCAAGCCUGAUGCAGCCAUGCCGCGUGUAUGAAGAAGGCCUUCGGGUUGUAAAGUACUUUCAGCGGGGAGGAAGGGAGUAAAGUUAAUACCUUUGCUCAUUGACGUUACCCGCAGAAGAAGCACCGGCUAACUCCGUGCAGUCAGCCGCGGUAGCC